UACGAAGGGGGCUAGCGUUGCUCGGAAUCACUGGGCGUAAAGGGUGCGUAGGCGGGUCUUUAAGUCAGGGGGGAAAUCCUGGAGCUCAACUCCAGAACUGCCUUUGAUACUGAAGAUCUUGAGUUCGGGAGAGGUGAGUGGAACUGCGAGUGUAGAGGUGAAAUUCGUAGAUAUUCGCAAGAACACCAGUGGCGAAGGCGGCUCACUGGCCCGAUACUGACGCUGAGGCACGAAAGCGUGGGGAGCAGACAGG
RNAcentral lists this ribosomal RNA (253 nucleotides) under uncultured bacterium. Its description in RNAcentral is "partial 16S ribosomal RNA". It matches the Rfam family "Bacterial small subunit ribosomal RNA", at positions 524 to 776 of the family's 1533-position model. The record is from RNAcentral.